Molecule: transfer RNA, 72 nt
Filed under: Dendrothele bispora CBS 962.96
Lineage: Eukaryota; Fungi; Basidiomycota; Agaricomycetes; Agaricales
Description: Dendrothele bispora (strain CBS 962.96) tRNA
Rfam family: tRNA
About the family: Transfer RNA (tRNA) molecules are approximately 80 nucleotides in length.
Source: Rfam by way of RNAcentral
AGCAGCAUGGCGCAGUGGUAGCGCGCGGGGCCCAUAACCCCGAGGUCACUUGAACGAAACAAGUUGCUGCUA